UCGAGAAUCUUCCGCAAUGGGCGAAAGCCUGACGGAGCGACACCGCGUGCAGGAUGAAGGCCUUCGGGUUGUAAACUGCUGUCACGCCAUAGGAAUUCCCUGUCGUUAAUAGCUGCAGGGUUGACCGAAGCGAAAGGAAGCACCGGCUAACUCCGUGCCAGCAGCCGCGGUAAGACGGAGGGUGCGAACGUUGUUCGGAAUCACUGGGCAUAAAGCGCACGUAGGCGGCUCGGUCAGUCCGAUGUGAAAGCCCCCGGCUCAACCGGGGAACUGCAUCGGAUACUGCCGGGCUCGAGGACGGUUGGGGUGAGUGGAACUCCUGGUGGAGCGGUGAAAUGCGUAGAUAUCAGGAGGAACACCAGUGGCGAAAGCGGCUCACUGGACCGUCUCUGACGCUGAGGUGCGAAAGCUAGGGUAGCGAACGGGAUUAGAUACCCCCGUAGUCC
RNAcentral lists this ribosomal RNA (446 nucleotides) under uncultured prokaryote. Its description in RNAcentral is "bacterial SSU rRNA". It matches the Rfam family "Bacterial small subunit ribosomal RNA", at positions 355 to 796 of the family's 1533-position model. The record is from RNAcentral.